CCCUUAGAUGUCCGGGGCUGCACGCGCGUUACACUGAUGCAUUCAACGAGCUUAUAACCUUGGCCGAGAGGCCUGGGCAAUCUUGUUAACGUGCAUCGUGAUAGGGAUAGAUUAUUGAAAUUAUUAAUCUUGAACGAGGAAUUCCUAGUAAACGCAGAUCAUCAAUCUGCAUUGAUUACGUCCCUGCCCUUUGUACACACCGCCCGUCGCACCUACCGAUUGGAUGGUCCGGUGAAGCCUCGGGAUUGUGGUUCUUGCCGCUUUAUUGUGGCGUGACCGCGAGAACUUGUCUAAACCUUAUCAUCUAGAGGAAGGUGAAGUCGUAACA
This 328-nucleotide ribosomal RNA is filed under the name uncultured eukaryote. Its description in RNAcentral is "partial 18S ribosomal RNA". It matches the Rfam family "Eukaryotic small subunit ribosomal RNA", at positions 1470 to 1796 of the family's 1831-position model. The record is from RNAcentral.